This 432-nucleotide ribosomal RNA is filed under the name Nocardioides sp. Its description in RNAcentral is "bacterial SSU rRNA". It matches the Rfam family "Bacterial small subunit ribosomal RNA", at positions 22 to 459 of the family's 1533-position model. The record is from RNAcentral. Lineage: Bacteria; Bacillati; Actinomycetota; Actinomycetes; Propionibacteriales; Nocardioidaceae.
GCUCAGGACGAACGCUGGCGGCGUGCUUAACACAUGCAAGUCGAGCGGAAAGGCCCUUCGGGGUACUCGAGCGGCGAACGGGUGAGUAACACGUGAGUAAUCUGCCCUCCACUUUGGGAUAGCCACCGGAAACGGUGAUUAAUACCGGAUAUGACCUGUGCCCGCAUGGGUGUUGGUGGAAAGUUUUUCGGUGGGGGAUGUGCUCGCGGCCUAUCAGCUUGAUGGUGGGGUAAUGGCCUACCAUGGCUUCGACGGGUAGCCGGCCUGAGAGGGUGACCGGCCACACUGGGACUGAGACACGGCCCAGACUCCUACGGGAGGCAGCAGUGGGGAAUAUUGGACAAUGGGCGGAAGCCUGAUCCAGCAACGCCGCGUGAGGGAUGACGGCCUUCGGGUUGUAAACCUCUUUCGGUGGGGACGAAGCGAAAGUGA